Molecule: ribosomal RNA, 1540 nt
Filed under: Staphylococcus aureus M1217
Lineage: Bacteria; Bacillati; Bacillota; Bacilli; Caryophanales; Staphylococcaceae
Description: 16S ribosomal RNA
Rfam family: Bacterial small subunit ribosomal RNA
Source: RNAcentral
AGAGUUUGAUCCUGGCUCAGGAUGAACGCUGGCGGCGUGCCUAAUACAUGCAAGUCGAGCGAACGGACGAGAAGCUUGCUUCUCUGAUGUUAGCGGCGGACGGGUGAGUAACACGUGGAUAACCUACCUAUAAGACUGGGAUAACUUCGGGAAACCGGAGCUAAUACCGGAUAAUAUUUUGAACCGCAUGGUUCAAAAGUGAAAGACGGUCUUGCUGUCACUUAUAGAUGGAUCCGCGCUGCAUUAGCUAGUUGGUAAGGUAACGGCUUACCAAGUCAACGAUGCAUAGCCGACCUGAGAGGGUGAUCGGCCACACUGGAACUGAGACACGGUCCAGACUCCUACGGGAGGCAGCAGUAGGGAAUCUUCCGCAAUAGGCGAAAGCCUGACGGAGCAACGCCGCGUGAGUGAUGAAGGUCUUCGGAUCGUAAAACUCUGUUAUUAGGGAAGAACAUAUGUGUAAGUAACUGUGCACAUCUUGACGGUACCUAAUCAGAAAGCCACGGCUAACUACGUGCCAGCAGCCGCGGUAAUACGUAGGUGGCAAGCGUUAUCCGGAAUUAUUGGGCGUAAAGCGCGCGUAGGCGGUUUUUUAAGUCUGAUGUGAAAGCCCACGGCUCAACCGUGGAGGGUCAUUGGAAACUGGAAAACUUGAGUGCAGAAGAGGAAAGUGGAAUUCCAUGUGUAGCGGUGAAAUGCGCAGAGAUAUGGAGGAACACCAGUGGCGAAGGCGACUUUCUGGUCUGUAACUGACGCUGAUGUGCGAAAGCGUGGGGAUCAAACAGGAUUAGAUACCCUGGUAGUCCACGCCGUAAACGAUGAGUGCUAAGUGUUAGGGGGUUUCCGCCCCUUAGUGCUGCAGCUAACGCAUUAAGCACUCCGCCUGGGGAGUACGACCGCAAGGUUGAAACUCAAAGGAAUUGACGGGGACCCGCACAAGCGGUGGAGCAUGUGGUUUAAUUCGAAGCAACGCGAAGAACCUUACCAAAUCUUGACAUCCUUUGACAACUCUAGAGAUAGAGCCUUCCCCUUCGGGGGACAAAGUGACAGGUGGUGCAUGGUUGUCGUCAGCUCGUGUCGUGAGAUGUUGGGUUAAGUCCCGCAACGAGCGCAACCCUUAAGCUUAGUUGCCAUCAUUAAGUUGGGCACUCUAAGUUGACUGCCGGUGACAAACCGGAGGAAGGUGGGGAUGACGUCAAAUCAUCAUGCCCCUUAUGAUUUGGGCUACACACGUGCUACAAUGGACAAUACAAAGGGCAGCGAAACCGCGAGGUCAAGCAAAUCCCAUAAAGUUGUUCUCAGUUCGGAUUGUAGUCUGCAACUCGACUACAUGAAGCUGGAAUCGCUAGUAAUCGUAGAUCAGCAUGCUACGGUGAAUACGUUCCCGGGUCUUGUACACACCGCCCGUCACACCACGAGAGUUUGUAACACCCGAAGCCGGUGGAGUAACCUUUUAGGAGCUAGCCGUCGAAGGUGGGACAAAUGAUUGGGGUGAAGUCGUAACAAGGUAGCCGUAUCGGAAGGUGCGGCUGGAUCACCU